AUACGGAGGGUCCAAGCGUUAUCCGGAAUCAUUGGGUUUAAAGGGUUCGUAGGCGGGUCAAUAAGUCAGAGGUGAAAUCUUGCAGCUUAACUGUAAAAUUGCCUUUGAAACUGUUGACCUUGAAUUACUGUGAAGUGGUUAGAAUAUGUAGUGUAGCGGUGAAAUGCUUAGAGAUUACAUAGAAUACCGAUUGCGAAGGCAGAUCACUAACAGUAUAUUAACGCUGAUGAACGAAAGCGUGGGUAGCGAACGGGAUUAGAAACCCCGGUAGUCC
RNAcentral lists this ribosomal RNA (274 nucleotides) under uncultured bacterium. RNAcentral's name for it is "partial 16S ribosomal RNA". It matches the Rfam family "Bacterial small subunit ribosomal RNA", at positions 523 to 796 of the family's 1533-position model. The record is from RNAcentral.